CCGGGAUCGAACCAGAGACCUUGGGAUGACAAACCGAUUACAGUCCCACGCUCUUCCAACUGAGCUAAGAAGGGGUUUGAUGGGGAGAUCGACUACAACAU
Non-coding RNA from Rhodotorula taiwanensis, 101 nucleotides. The record is from the annotation of a GenBank genome assembly. Lineage: Eukaryota; Fungi; Basidiomycota; Microbotryomycetes; Sporidiobolales; Sporidiobolaceae.